Molecule: ribosomal RNA, 488 nt
Filed under: Octolasion lacteum
Lineage: Eukaryota; Metazoa; Annelida; Clitellata; Crassiclitellata; Lumbricidae
Also listed under: 1 other name
Description: partial 16S ribosomal RNA
Rfam family: Bacterial large subunit ribosomal RNA
Source: RNAcentral
UGCUUCUUGACUCACCAUAAGAAGUAAUUCCUGCCCAGUGACUUUACAGUUCAACGGCCGCGGUAUCCUAACCGUGCAAAGGUAGCAUAAUCACUUGCUCGUUAAUUGCGGGCUAGAAUGAAAGGAUCUACGAAAUAAAAACUGUCUCUAUAAGCCAAAUAAAAAUUAACCUCUAACUGAAGACUGUUAGAUGUCAUCGAAGGACAAGAAGACCCUAUAGAGCUUCAUUUUAAUAAAAAUUUCAACAUUUCAAUAAAAUUCGGUUGGGGCGACCAGGGAAAUAAUUAAUCAUCCCUAAAUAUUAGACAUAUUAAUCUGUGUGCUGACCCUUAAAUCAAGAUCAUAAGAACAAGCUACCUUAGGGAUAACAGGCUAAUCCUACUAAAGAGUCCUUAUCAAUAGUGGGGUUUGGCACCUCGAUGUUGGCUUAGGGAAUCUAUGCGGCGCAAAAGUCGCAUAAAGAUGGUUUGUUCAACCAAAAAUACCCU